UACAGGGGGGGCGAGCGUUGUUCGGAAUUACUGGGCGUAAAGGGUUUGUAGGUGGCUUGCUCAGUCAGACGUGAAAUCCCUCAGCUUAACUGGGGAACUGCGUCUGAUACUAGCGAGCUUGAGUGCAGGAGAGGAACGCGGAAUUCCAGGUGUAGCGGUGAAAUGCGUAGAUAUCUGGAGGAACACCGGUGGCGAAGGCGGCGUUCUGGACUGCAACUGACACUGAGGCACGAAGGCCAGGGGAGCAAACGGG
Molecule: ribosomal RNA, 253 nt
Filed under: uncultured bacterium
Lineage: Bacteria
Description: partial 16S ribosomal RNA
Rfam family: Bacterial small subunit ribosomal RNA
Source: RNAcentral